This 2522-nucleotide long non-coding RNA is filed under the name Trifolium pratense (red clover). RNAcentral's name for it is "long non-coding RNA (TPRA_LNC012268)". The record is from RNAcentral. Lineage: Eukaryota; Viridiplantae; Streptophyta; Magnoliopsida; Fabales; Fabaceae.
GUUAAGAAACAUGGCAUCCAUGGAAGAAUGAGAGAAAAUAGCUCAAAAGUGUAUAAUAUUGAUGAAGGAAAAAUAUUACAAAUAAGAAAAGUAAGUGUAAAAGAUUACAUCAAAGCUUAUAUAUAGGCAUCAAGAAACUACUAACUAAUCCUCCUAAUUACUAACUAACUAUAUCUUUAACACCCUCCCGCAAGCUAGAAGGUGUUUACAACACUUCUAGCUUGGGAUAAGCAAUACAAAAGUACAUCAAAUCCAAAGGAAAUACAAUGAGAGAUGCCGGAAAUACAUCGGCCAAAAUCAAAGCCAUAAGGCAAGACGCUUAACCAUUAAGCUGGAGCCAUAACUCAAGGCCUAUCCACUUAACAGAAGCUAACAUCAACAAGGCCAGCAAAGGGCACAAAGCUUAACCACCAAGAGUACCAAACACUCAUGAUAGAAGCAAAAAAGAGGAUGUCAAAAGGGUCCGAUGUCUACAAAGUGAAGCAUCAAUACUCAAGUUGUGCUAAAGGUAAUUAGCUCAGCUAAGGACCAACAAAUCGGGUCCGAUGUCUACAAAGUGAAGCAUCAAUACUCAAGUUGUGCUAAAGGUAAUUAGCUCAUCUAAGGACCAACAAAUCAAGGAGAAAGAUCAAGUAGCAUGGUUGAUGGCUAGAGAGUAAAGCAUCAAUACCAAUGUUGUGCUCAAGAUGAGAUAGCACAUCAAAAAACCAAAUAACCACUUGACAAAGCAAGCAAAUACAACCUGCUCAAGAGAUAGCAUAAAAGCAACAAAGCCAAUAUGGCUAAGCACCUGCCUAAAACAGGGCAACAAAGAGUAGAUUAAAGAACUCAAACUAGUCUUCAAUCUUUACAAUCAGAGACAAACUAGAAGCAAGCACAUCUUCAAACAGAGGCUCCCAAAACAACAAUGCUUAUCCAUCCAUGACAGAAGCUCAUAUGAAGUCUUAACCACCAUGGGCAGAAACUCAUAACAAAGCCAAUAAGGCUAAAAGAACAACAUCAAAUCAACAAGAGUCAAAAGAUUAAACUGCAUUCUUCACUGUUCUUCAUUGACAAUGGCAAAAUCUGAAGUUAGUAAACCAAAUCCACAUAAGGAAAAUUUAUGUGCCAAAUCCAAUUAUCCAAUGCUGAAACAUGAUUGUGGAUUUCCAAAGGAGGUUUGUUUACAAGACCACUAGCCAGAUACAAGCAAUUUUCCAAGAGAAUGGAUUCAUCCUCAACACACCACAAAACCAUAAGAAUGUGAAUCUUCCUUCAAAGGGGUAUAAACACAUCCAUCACAACAAAUUCUAUAAUUCACAAACUAGCACUCCACCAAUUUAUGAAGUGGCUCAACUUCAGUACACAAUGCAUAAGAAAGGAACCAAUGCAUGUAUUUAGCCCCAUCAACUAAACAAAAUUGAAUUGAUACCAACCACACUCAUCGUGUACAUAACAACCAUAGAGAUUCAGGUGCCAUAAACAUUUCUAAAGUAAAAGGUGUCAAAGACAAGGCAACAGUCUCUAAGCAUGUAAUGGCACUGAAAUACUCUAAGCAUGUAAUCGCAUUCCUUGAACCAUCUUGAACAAAAUUUACCCCAAAACUCUGAAACGAAUUAACAAUAAUCCCAAUUUGAAUCUCAAGCAAAAACUUCAAGAAUAAAAUUCACCAUCAAACUCAUUUAUAUGUGCUUCAUGCUCAAUUUUAACUACCAAUAAUCCAUGAGGACAAAAUCCACAGAUUAACAAUUCACCAUACAGUUCUUCCCUAGUGGAGGUGCAACUAACCUUGACACGUGAAGAACUGUUUCAGCAGAACAACCUUGCUUCAGUGCCGUUCCAUGAACUGAUGCAGAUCCAACAUAACCAUGCAGUCAACAUGUAGAACCUUCCUCUGAAGUAGAUGAAUAUAGUUGAUGAAUUCAGAGUGAAAUCCGAUACACAUCUAAAAGAUUCAAUCGAAAACGUUAUCUGCUUUAGAAUUUUGCUUCUCAAAUCAGAAACAAGAAGGUGCCAAAAUUGGAAACUCCUAAAUCAUGAAUUGCAAAGAAUCUUGAACACUAGAACCCUAGGAUUUGGGGAAAAGAUGGGAAUAAAGUUGCGAUUAAAACAAAAUCGCAAUCGAACACGGAACAAGAAUCAAAUCGAAAAGAAAUCAAGAAAUCGGAUCUAGAACAUGAAUUGGAAUCAUGAAAUUCGCAAAACGGAAUCAAAAUUGAAAUCAAGAAAACUGAAUUCGCAAACGGAAGAUGAGAAAAGUGAUUUUCUCAAAUGGAAAAUUAACAGGACUAGAGAAUUGAAUUUCUCAGGAAAAAUAGAAAAGAAAGAACGAUAGAAAAUGAAAGUUGAGAAAAAUAAAUUUUCGCGAGUUCUGCAGUGGAAAAUUUUCUUUAAAGUGGAUACCAAAUUUGCUCCGAUAUCAUGUUAAGAAACAUGGCAUUCAUGGAAGAAUGAAAGAAAAUAGCUCAAAAGUGUAUAAUAUUGAUGAAGGAAAAAUAUUACAAAUAAGAAAAGUAAGUGUAAAAAAUUACAUCAAAGCUUAU